This 321-nucleotide ribosomal RNA is filed under the name uncultured soil bacterium. RNAcentral's name for it is "bacterial SSU rRNA". It matches the Rfam family "Bacterial small subunit ribosomal RNA", at positions 26 to 373 of the family's 1533-position model. The record is from RNAcentral.
AGAACGAACGCUGGCGGCAUGCCUAACACAUGCAAGUCGAACGAGACCUUCGGGUCUAGUGGCGCACGGGUGCGUAACGCGUGGGAAUCUGCCCUUGGGUUCGGAAUAACAGCGAGAAAUUGCUGCUAAUACCGGAUGAUGACGUAAGUCCAAAGAUUUAUCGCCCAAGGAUGAGCCCGCGUAGGAUUAGCUUGUUGGUGAGGUAAGAGCUCACCAAGGCGACGAUCCUUAGCUGGUCUGAGAGGAUGAUCAGCCACACUGGGACUGAGACACGGCCCAGACUCCUACGGGAGGCAGCAGGUGGGGAAUAGUUGGACAAGU